GCAAAAGCAGCUGAAAUCCAGCUUGGAAAAGGGGUGGGGAAGAAGGAGGAGAAAGAAAUGAAUCGAUAAUUUAUUUUUUUUUUAAACAACCCCCCAACAACCACCCAAGAAUUUAAACUGGUCUCAACCUCUUCAAGGAAAGUUAAUCAAUAAACUAAUUAACUGCUUUGCAAGCUCUGUAAUUAAUAGAUCAAAAGUAUUAGCGCCAGGGCUCUGAAACUGCAAAGAGCUCAGACCAACACCUCGCUUCCAAGGAGGCGGCAUUGCAAGAUUCUUUAGAGUUGAUUUUUUUUUAUUAUGAUUAUUUAAUUUUUUUGCACCAAAAAAAAUCGGGAUUUUUAAUUUUUUUUAAAGGCUAAAAAAAAUCAGAAACAACGAGGCGGCGACAGGGAGGAAUUUCCCACCCCCCUAAAAAAAACCACAUUUUUUUUUUUACAGAUUUGGGGAAUCUUGGUUCAAGCAUCCAGAGCCACCAACCAGCCUCUGCUCCCUUUGUUUGAUUCGCCGCUGGGUAGUGUUGGGACCGUAGUUAGGGCUGGGAUUGUGUUCUCGCUUCUUCCGCUGGGGCCGGGUAGGCGAUUCGAAGCUCGCCCCCAGAUUCGCCCCUUUGGACCAAUGAAGGAACCCGAUGCUAUUAAACUUUUCAUCGGGCAGAUCCCACGGAAUUUGGAGGAGAAGGAUUUGAAACCCAUCUUCGAGCAAUUUGGGAAGAUCUACGAGUUGACAGUGAUUAAGGAUAAAUACACGGGCAUGCACAAAGGAUGUGCGUUCCUGACCUACUGUGCUCGGGAAUCGGCCCUCAAGGCACAGAGUGCACUGCAUGAGCAGAAAACGCUCCCGGGGAUGAACCGGCCGAUCCAGGUGAAGCCAGCAGACAGCGAAAGCAGAGGAGAAGACCGGAAGCUGUUUGUGGGGAUGCUGGGCAAGCAGCAGACGGACGAAGACGUCAGGAAAAUGUUCGAGCCCUUCGGGAACAUCGAUGAGUGCACGGUGCUGCGGGGGCCAGAUGGCACCAGCAAAGGCUGCGCCUUCGUGAAGUUCCAGACCCACGCUGAGGCUCAGGCCGCCAUCAACACACUUCACGGCAGCCGGACAUUGCCGGGCGCCUCCUCCAGCCUGGUGGUGAAAUUCGCCGACACGGAGAAGGAACGGGGCCUGCGCCGGAUGCAGCAGGUGGCCAGCCAGUUGGGCAUGUUCAGCCCCAUCGCCCUGCAGUUCGGGGCCUACAGCGCCUACACCCAAGCACUAAUGCAGCAGCAGGCAGCCUUGGUCGCUGCUCACUCCGCCUACCUCAACCCCAUGGCCACCAUGGCGGCCGUCCAGAUGCAGCAGAUGGCCACCAUCAACCCCAACGGCCUCAUCGCCACGCCCCUCACGCCUCUCACUCCCUCCUCAGGUACCAGCACGCCACCCGCCAUCGCUGCCACCCCCGUGUCCGCCAUCCCAGCCACGCUCAGCGUCAACGGCUACAGCCCAGUCCCCACACAGACCACAGGGCAGCCGGCCUCCGAGGCUCUCUACACCAACGGGGUCCACCCGUACCCAGGUACGCCCCCGCCCUGCCUGCUCCCCCCGCCCCGGCUCAGCCAAGGGCUCCCGGUAACCCCCUCCCCCUCGUCUCCCCUCGCAGCUCAGAGCCCGGCUGCCCCCGUGGACCCCCUGCAGCAGGCCUACGCCGGGAUGCAGCACUACACAGCCGCCUACCCCGCUGCCUAUGGGCUGGUGAGCCCGGCCUUCCCCCAGCAGCCGGCCAUCCUCACGCAGCAGCCGCCCCCUCAGCAGCAGCAGCAACGGGAAGGCCCCGAGGGCUGUAACAUCUUCAUCUACCACCUGCCCCAGGAGUUCACUGACUCCGAGAUCCUGCAGAUGUUCCUGCCCUUCGGGAACGUCAUCUCUGCCAAAGUCUUCGUGGAUCGGGCAACCAAUCAGAGCAAAUGUUUCGGUUUCGUAAGUUUUGACAAUCCCACCAGCGCCCAGGCUGCCAUCCAGGCCAUGAACGGCUUCCAGAUCGGCAUGAAGCGCCUGAAAGUGCAGCUCAAGCGACCGAAAGACGCCAACCGGCCGUACUAAGGCCCCAGAAAGAAGAACAUAACCUCCUGCUAGCAGUUCUUUCCGGCUGUGCUGCGCAGAGCCCUGUCUCAGCCAGGUCUGGAGCUCAAUGGAGGAGGGAGCCCCCAACUGACCUCCACCUGGCCCAUCCUCCCUCUCCCCCACCCACUGCAGCUCAUCCCUCGCCUGUGCCUCAUCGCCACACUGAUCCCGGCCACUUGACCUGCCAGCUGGGAGGACGAAGCCGAUCGGCGGAACCAAAAGCACCUGCCUCCACCCAUCAGCCCCGGGCUGCGCCUAGCCCCACCAGCAGCCUGCAGUUUGGGGUGGGGGCAGGCUUUUCACCUGUGAUCUCGGCCCUGCCUCAUCAAGAGCAGAGGAGGGGGAAAGGAGCCCCCAGCCCUGAUCCACCCUGCCCCCGGAGUAGCCAUGAAUUCCUGCCACCGUAGCCCAGGGGGGAACAGACUGGGCUCAGCCCUAGGGAAUCAGCUGGAGGGCUUGACCCUGCCCCGGGGCGGGGGGGGGGGGAGGCCCUGUCCCUGUGUCCAGCUGGAAGGCGGGGGUAGGGGGGUCCAUCCUCUCAGCUUUCUUCUCACCCAAUGGGACCAAAAGCGGCUCCGAGUACCGAA
RNA transcript from Gopherus evgoodei (Goodes thornscrub tortoise), 2678 nucleotides. It is a transcript of the gene named CUGBP Elav-like family member 3, with no coding region annotated. The transcript is spliced from 13 exons. Lineage: Eukaryota; Metazoa; Chordata; Testudines; Testudinidae. The record is from RefSeq and is a predicted model, not a curated record.